AGUAAAGUCAGCUAAAUAAGCUCUUGGGCCCAUACCCCGAACAUGUUGGUUAAUACCCUUCCUUUAUUA
This 69-nucleotide transfer RNA is filed under the name Cetonurus globiceps (globehead grenadier). RNAcentral describes it as "tRNA-Met". Lineage: Eukaryota; Metazoa; Chordata; Actinopteri; Gadiformes; Macrouridae. The record is from RNAcentral.